Molecule: long non-coding RNA, 505 nt
Organism: Cloeon dipterum
Lineage: Eukaryota; Metazoa; Arthropoda; Insecta; Ephemeroptera; Baetidae
Exons: 3
Source: RefSeq, a predicted model, not a curated record
GUUUCCGGCAUUUCUCCUCCUUAUUUAGUUGCGGCAAGCCCGUCUCGAUAGGAUGACAGCUUUUAGAAGGACUGAAGUAAGCGAGUUUCAAUAUCAUUUUAAGCCACUUUCUUGGUGCGGAUUUAUUUUGCCCAAUGGAAAGUCACCGAGCAAGCUAGAAAUCUUCCGCCUCUUGUCAUACCACAUUGCAAGUGUCGCGAGCCAUGCCUUGACUCUAGUUCAUUUUUUGGUGAAGCCUUAUCAGUUGAGGAGAACUAUUGUUACCAUGAUAGUUUUGAGCAACGGAUUCCAAACGACAUUUCGACCAACCGACAUUAUAUACAGGAAAAGAAAGGUUGAAAAAAUGAUUUCAGACUUCGAAGAACCUCCAGAUUGCGAUUGCCUUGAAUUUAUUGAAAAAGAAACUCAAAUGAGGCGAAAAUCGAAGAAAGGGAUAGUCAGGUUGAGCGCAAUUCUGUACUCUUACAACGCCCUGCUAGUAUUCUCUACAUUAUUCACCGUAGUG